CUCACCUUGGGAUGUUGUUAAAAUGCAGAUUCUGAUUCAGCAGAUCUGGAGUAGGGCCUGAGACUCUGCAUUUCUAACAAGCUCCCUGGUGAUACCUA
This 98-nucleotide microRNA precursor is filed under the name Pteropus alecto (black flying fox). RNAcentral's name for it is "mir-544 microRNA precursor family". It matches the Rfam family "mir-544 microRNA precursor family". The record is from Rfam by way of RNAcentral. Lineage: Eukaryota; Metazoa; Chordata; Mammalia; Chiroptera; Pteropodidae.